Non-coding RNA from Bos taurus (domestic cattle), 72 nucleotides. Lineage: Eukaryota; Metazoa; Chordata; Mammalia; Artiodactyla; Bovidae. The record is from Rfam.
UCCCUGGUGGCUCAGAGGGUAAAGCAUCUGCCUGCAAUGCGGGAGACCUGGGUUCGAUCCCUGGGUGGGGAA